Molecule: ribosomal RNA, 468 nt
Filed under: uncultured bacterium
Lineage: Bacteria
Description: partial 16S ribosomal RNA
Rfam family: Bacterial small subunit ribosomal RNA
Source: RNAcentral
GACGAACGCUGGCGGCGUGCUUAACACAUGCAAGUCGAACGGAAAGGCCCUGCUUUUGUGGGGUGCUCGAGUGGCGAACGGGUGAGUAACACGUGAGUAACCUGCCCUUGACUUUGGGAUAACUUCAGGAAACUGGGGCUAAUACCGGAUAGGAGCUCCUGCUGCAUGGUGGGGGUUGGAAAGUUUCGGCGGUUGGGGAUGGACUCGCGGCUUAUCAGCUUGUGGGUGGGGUAGUGGCUUACCAAGGCUUUGACGGGUAGCCGGCCUGAGAGGGUGACCGGCCACAUUGGGACUGAGAUACGGCCCAGACUCCUACGGGAGGCAGAAGUGGGGAAUAUUGCACAAUGGGCGGAAGCCUGAUGCAGCAACGCCGCGUGCGGGAUGACGGCCUUCGGGUUGUAAACCGCUUUCGCCUGUGACGAAGCGUGAGUGACGGUAAUGGGUAAAGAAGCACCGGCUAACUACGUG